Molecule: ribosomal RNA, 918 nt
Filed under: uncultured bacterium
Lineage: Bacteria
Description: bacterial SSU rRNA
Rfam family: Bacterial small subunit ribosomal RNA
Source: RNAcentral
CGCGGUAAUACGUAGUGCCAAGCGUGUCCCGAAUUUACUGGCCGUAAAGAUGUGUAGGCGGACAUUAAUGUGAAGACCGUGAAGCCCCCCGAGUCUCAACUUGGGGAACUCCCAUUUCAAACCUGGGUGUCCUAGAUGUGCAAGGAGAGGAAAGCGGAAUUCCUAGUGUAGCGGUGAAUUGCGAAGAGAUUAGAAAGAACCUUCAGUGGCGAAGGCGGCCUUCUGGACUUUAACUGACGCUGAGGCAUGAAAGCGUGGGGACCAACCAGGAUUAGAUACCCUGGUAGUCCACGCCGUAAACGAUGAGUACUAGGUGUAGGAGGUAUCGACUCCUUCUGUGCCGCAGUUAACACAAUAAGUACUCCGCCUGGGAAGUACGGUCGCAAGAUUAAAACUCAAAGGAAUUGACGGGGGCCCGCACAAGCAGCGGAGCAUGUGGUUUAAUUCGAAGCAACGCGAAGAACCUUACCUAGACUUGACAUCUCCUGAAUAGCGUAGAGAUACGUGAAGCCCUUCGGGGCAGGAAGACAGGUGGUGCAUGGUUGUCGUCAGCUCGUGUCGUGAGAUGUUGGGUUAAGUCCCGCAACGAGCGCAACCCUUAUCAUUAGUUGCUACCAUUAAGUUGAGCACUCUAGUGAGACUGCCCGGGUUAACCGGGAGGAAGGCGGGGAUGACGUCAAAUCAUCAUGCCCCUUAUGUCUAGGGCUACACACGUGCUACAAUGGUGAGAACAACGAGAUGCAAUACCGCGAGGUGGAGCCAAACUUGAAAACUCAUCCCAGUUCGGAUUGUAGGCUGAAAUUCGCCUACAUGAAGUUGGAGUUGCUAGUAAUCGCGAAUCAGAAUGUCGCGGUGAAUACGUUCCCGGGCCUUGUACACACCGCCCGUCACACCAUGAGAGCUGGUAACACCCGAAGU